Molecule: long non-coding RNA, 928 nt
Organism: Passer domesticus (house sparrow)
Lineage: Eukaryota; Metazoa; Chordata; Aves; Passeriformes; Passeridae
Exons: 2
Source: RefSeq, a predicted model, not a curated record
CCUCCCCAGGAAACACAGUUGGAACCUCCUGUGCUUCCAUGUCACACGUGGCAGCCGCCCGAAGAGAAUCUGCCAUGGUGACCAUCUUCCUUCCAUGUCCAGUGUUCUCACCACUGUCCAUGGAUCCAACCUGCUUCUUACGUCCUUUUAAGAAUGCCUUGCCCAGUUCCAAGAAGUGGCAGCCUCUUACCAUUUGGGACACCUGUCCCCCCCAUAUUUACUCCCCUGGGGCCUGGGGGUCUCAGGAACAGAGAUCCUUCUCUGCUGAAGGCAUAGGGCUCCACCACAGCCUACCCAUCAGUCUCUGUUCCCUUUACUUCUUCUCACAACUGCUCUGUCACUCUUGGCUUCUGGCCAACUGCCUCCCCCAAGGUGCAGUCUCUACAUUACAGGAAGAUUUGGUUCCAUCCCGUGGCCAUGUAAGAGGAAAGUCCAGCCAAAAGGCCACUCCAAAUCAUCUCCUUUAUCUAGGACGCUUCUCAUCUGCUGGUAUUUCUUCACUCACUCACUCAAGACUCCUUCUCAUCUGCUCAUCCUCUGUCCCCUCUCAGUUCUCAGCUGGGGAGGAUCAGUGUUUCUUACAGCUUCCACUGUUUCAGCACCAACGGGGUUAAAACUUCAGCCACGGUCUGACGGCGGCUGGGCACCCUGCCCCCGCCCCAACCUUCUUCUCCAGGCCAUGAUGCCAGCACAAGUUGUUCUCCCAUGAAAUCUAUGGCACACAAUUCUCCCAUGACCUUUGACACAUCACAUCAGUUGAGCACAAGGGAAGAGGAAGGCACCUGGCAAAGGAUGUCCACAACAGAGAGAUUAACCAAACCCAAACCACAAGUGACCUGCAAUUCAGCCAAGAAGAAAUUUUUUGUGAACUCAGAGGGGAUGCUGUAAUUUGGUUUAAGAAAAUAAAACAGUUUUGUUUGAGUCUAAA